RNAcentral lists this ribosomal RNA (612 nucleotides) under uncultured bacterium. Its description in RNAcentral is "bacterial SSU rRNA". The stretch from base 1 to 518 matches the Rfam family "Bacterial small subunit ribosomal RNA", at positions 338 to 873 of the family's 1533-position model. The record is from RNAcentral.
CCUACGGGAGGCAGCAGUGGGGAAUCUUGCGCAAUGGGCGAAAGCCUGACGCAGCCAUGCCGCGUGAAUGAUGAAGGUCUUAGGAUUGUAAAAUUCUUUCACCGGGGACGAUAAUGACGGUACCCGGAGAAGAAGCCCCGGCUAACUUCGUGCCAGCAGCCGCGGUAAUACGAAGGGGGCUAGCGUUGCUCGGAAUUACUGGGCGUAAAGGGAGCGUAGGCGGAUAGUUUAGUCAGAGGUGAAAGCCCAGGGCUCAACCUUGGAAUUGCCUUUGAUACUGGCUAUCUUGAGUGUGGGAGAGGUAUGUGGAACUCCGAGUGUAGAGGUGAAAUUCGUAGAUAUUCGGAAGAACACCAGUGGCGAAGGCGACAUACUGGCCCAUUACUGACGCUGAGGCUCGAAAGCGUGGGGAGCAAACAGGAUUAGAUACCCUGGUAGUCCACGCUGUAAACGAUGAGUGCUAGUUGUCGGCAGCAUGCUGUCGGUGACGCGAGCUACGACAUUAAGUACACUCCGCCGUCGGGGAGGUACGGUCGGCGAAGAAUUAAAACGUAACAAAGGAAAGUUAGACGGCGUGAGACGUGCCGAACGGACGACGACGAGGGAGGUAGG